This 2899-nucleotide ribosomal RNA is filed under the name Klebsiella pneumoniae. Its description in RNAcentral is "23S ribosomal RNA". It matches the Rfam family "Bacterial large subunit ribosomal RNA". Lineage: Bacteria; Pseudomonadati; Pseudomonadota; Gammaproteobacteria; Enterobacterales; Enterobacteriaceae. The record is from RNAcentral.
UUAAGCGACUAAGCGUACACGGUGGAUGCCCUGGCAGUCAGAGGCGAUGAAGGACGUGCUAAUCUGCGAAAAGCGUCGGUAAGGUGAUAUGAACCGUUAUAACCGGCGAUGUCCGAAUGGGGAAACCCAGUGCAAUUCGUUGCACUAUCGUUAACUGAAUACAUAGGUUAACGAGGCGAACCGGGGGAACUGAAACAUCUAAGUACCCCGAGGAAAAGAAAUCAACCGAGAUUCCCCCAGUAGCGGCGAGCGAACGGGGAGCAGCCCAGAGUCUGAAUCAGCUUGUGUGUUAGUGGAACGGUCUGGAAAGUCCGACGGUACAGGGUGAUAGUCCCGUACACCAAAAUGCACAGGUUGUGAACUCGAAGAGUAGGGCGGGACACGUGGUAUCCUGUCUGAAUAUGGGGGGACCAUCCUCCAAGGCUAAAUACUCCUGACUGACCGAUAGUGAACCAGUACCGUGAGGGAAAGGCGAAAAGAACCCCGGCGAGGGGAGUGAAAAAGAACCUGAAACCGUGUACGUACAAGCAGUGGGAGCACCUUCGGGUGUGACUGCGUACCUUUUGUAUAAUGGGUCAGCGACUUAUAUUCUGUAGCAAGGUUAACCGUAUAGGGGAGCCGCAGGGAAACCGAGUCUUAACUGGGCGUUAAGUUGCAGGGUAUAGACCCGAAACCCGGUGAUCUAGCCAUGGGCAGGUUGAAGGUUGGGUAACACUAACUGGAGGACCGAACCGACUAAUGUUGAAAAAUUAGCGGAUGACUUGUGGCUGGGGGUGAAAGGCCAAUCAAACCGGGAGAUAGCUGGUUCUCCCCGAAAGCUAUUUAGGUAGCGCCUCGUGAAUUCAUCUUCGGGGGUAGAGCACUGUUUCGGCUAGGGGGUCAUCCCGACUUACCAACCCGAUGCAAACUACGAAUACCGAAGAAUGUUAUCACGGGAGACACACGGCGGGUGCUAACGUCCGUCGUGAAGAGGGAAACAACCCAGACCGCCAGCUAAGGUCCCAAAGUCAUGGUUAAGUGGGAAACGAUGUGGGAAGGCACAGACAGCCAGGAUGUUGGCUUAGAAGCAGCCAUCAUUUAAAGAAAGCGUAAUAGCUCACUGGUCGAGUCGGCCUGCGCGGAAGAUGUAACGGGGCUAAACCAUGCACCGAAGCUGCGGCAGCGACACUAUGUGUUGUUGGGUAGGGGAGCGUUCUGUAAGCCUGCGAAGGUGACCUGUGAGGGUUGCUGGAGGUAUCAGAAGUGCGAAUGCUGACAUAAGUAACGAUAAAGCGGGUGAAAAGCCCGCUCGCCGGAAGACCAAGGGUUCCUGUCCAACGUUAAUCGGGGCAGGGUGAGUCGACCCCUAAGGCGAGGCCGAAAGGCGUAGUCGAUGGGAAACAGGUUAAUAUUCCUGUACUUGGUGUUACUGCGAAGGGGGGACGGAGAAGGCUAUGUUAGCCGGGCGACGGUUGUCCCGGUUUAAGCAUGUAGGCUGGUUGUCCAGGCAAAUCCGGAUAAUCAAGGCUGAGGUGUGAUGACGAGGCACUACGGUGCUGAAGUAACAAAUGCCCUGCUUCCAGGAAAAGCCUCUAAGCAUCAGGUAACAUUAAAUCGUACCCCAAACCGACACAGGUGGUCAGGUAGAGAAUACCAAGGCGCUUGAGAGAACUCGGGUGAAGGAACUAGGCAAAAUGGUGCCGUAACUUCGGGAGAAGGCACGCUGGUGUGUAGGUGAAGUCCCUGCGGAUGGAGCUGAGACCAGUCGAAGAUACCAGCUGGCUGCAACUGUUUAUUAAAAACACAGCACUGUGCAAACACGAAAGUGGACGUAUACGGUGUGACGCCUGCCCGGUGCCGGAAGGUUAAUUGAUGGGGUUAUCCGUAAGGAGAAGCUCUUGAUCGAAGCCCCGGUAAACGGCGGCCGUAACUAUAACGGUCCUAAGGUAGCGAAAUUCCUUGUCGGGUAAGUUCCGACCUGCACGAAUGGCGUAAUGAUGGCCAGGCUGUCUCCACCCGAGACUCAGUGAAAUUGAACUCGCUGUGAAGAUGCAGUGUACCCGCGGCAAGACGGAAAGACCCCGUGAACCUUUACUAUAGCUUGACACUGAACAUUGAGCCUUGAUGUGUAGGAUAGGUGGGAGGCUUUGAAGCGUGGACGCCAGUCUGCGUGGAGCCAACCUUGAAAUACCACCCUUUAAUGUUUGAUGUUCUAACGUUGGCCCCUGACCGGGGUUGCGGACAGUGUCUGGUGGGUAGUUUGACUGGGGCGGUCUCCUCCCAAAGCGUAACGGAGGAGCACGAAGGUUAGCUAAUCCUGGUCGGACAUCAGGAGGUUAGUGCAAUGGCAUAAGCUAGCUUGACUGCGAGCGUGACGGCGCGAGCAGGUGCGAAAGCAGGUCAUAGUGAUCCGGUGGUUCUGAAUGGAAGGGCCAUCGCUCAACGGAUAAAAGGUACUCCGGGGAUAACAGGCUGAUACCGCCCAAGAGUUCAUAUCGACGGCGGUGUUUGGCACCUCGAUGUCGGCUCAUCACAUCCUGGGGCUGAAGUAGGUCCCAAGGGUAUGGCUGUUCGCCAUUUAAAGUGGUACGCGAGCUGGGUUUAGAACGUCGUGAGACAGUUCGGUCCCUAUCUGCCGUGGGCGCUGGAGAAUUGAGGGGGGCUGCUCCUAGUACGAGAGGACCGGAGUGGACGCAUCACUGGUGUUCGGGUUGUCAUGCCAAUGGCACUGCCCGGUAGCUAAAUGCGGAAGAGAUAAGUGCUGAAAGCAUCUAAGCACGAAACUUGCCCCGAGAUGAGUUCUCCCUGAGACUUUAAGUCUCCUGAAGGAACGUUAAAGACGAUGACGUUGAUAGGCCGGGUGUGUAAGCGCAGCGAUGCGUUGAGCUAACCGGUACUAAUGAACCGUGAGGCUUAACCU